Molecule: long non-coding RNA, 211 nt
Filed under: Nicotiana benthamiana
Lineage: Eukaryota; Viridiplantae; Streptophyta; Magnoliopsida; Solanales; Solanaceae
Description: long non-coding RNA (NBEN_LNC041011)
Source: RNAcentral
UCCCAUUAACAGCUUUUGUAUAGUUGCAUUGCUACAUCCAGUCCUUUGCAAUUUUGUCAAAUAUCUUCUUAGCUUUAUGCUCUUUUAUUCUUGUUUCCAGUAUACCAAUUAUAUCAACUUUAUUAUCAUUAAGGAAUUGCUUCAAUUCCUUCUGCUUUGGGGACUGGUUAAGUCCCCUAAUGUUCCAUGUGACUGCUAUCAUGGAUCAANN